RNAcentral lists this transfer RNA (82 nucleotides) under Caenorhabditis brenneri. RNAcentral's name for it is "tRNA-Ser (CGA) (tRNA-Ser-CGA-1-1)". It matches the Rfam family "tRNA". From Rfam's summary of the family: Transfer RNA (tRNA) molecules are approximately 80 nucleotides in length. Their secondary structure includes four short double-helical elements and three loops (D, anti-codon, and T loops). Lineage: Eukaryota; Metazoa; Nematoda; Chromadorea; Rhabditida; Rhabditidae. The record is from Rfam by way of RNAcentral.
GCAGUCAUGUCCGAGUGGUUAAGGAGAUUGACUCGAAAUCAAUUGGGCUCUGCCCGCGCAGGUUCGAAUCCUGCUGACUGCG